GCGUUUCACUUAAACCACUUCAAAAUCCCUGCCAUGGUAGUGGAUGGAGGUCUCUUUAAUUUUUUGGAACUGUCAUAGCGGUCUGACACAUUGAAAUGGACGAACAAAUAUUAUGUCUCCGUUGUUUUAUUGUGUCUGUGUUAAUCCUAAUGUCAAUACCAACUGAAAGCAGCAUGGUUCAGUGGCAGCAAAAACAACUUGUUGCAAACGCCAGGGCAAGAAAAAGUCUUCAGUAGCAGAGACGUACGUGCAGAUAAGGUUACAAUAAAAGCGGCUAAUUGGUUUGGUUUCGACAGACCCGUCAGUUCCGACCACUGAACAAGAUCGGGGUCAGUCUCUUGGCAUUUCUAAACUUGGACGUCUACAAAGACUCGUUUGAUUUGCUUGGGGCUUCGUUGCCAAUGUGACUAACAUUUCACAUUGAAUACUGAAGCUUAAAACGAGAGCGAUAUCCCAAAGACGUAUCUACGGAUUGUUCAGAAUAUUGCACGAAAAACAUGAAAACUCAUGACUCUGUCCGAUUCAUUGUUAUCGAUGCCUUAAAUUAUUAUUUCUGUUGCACCCCCCCCCCCACCAAAUUUUGCAUAUCCGGAAAGUUGUCUUUUAUCAGAAUCGAAAUGCUGAACGAUUUUUUUUACUGUAAGGUUAAGUUUGACCAAGUACUUAAUUUGGUCCGUUUUGGAAUGGAACUUCUCUCGCAUGAACCAAUGUACAAAUCAUCUGAGGACAAAAUCGGAUUAACGAUGCGAAAUCAAAAGAAGGUCCUAGUAUAGAGGAAGACCACAGGAAACAACUAUAUCCUGUACUUGCGCCGUUAGAUUUCUUCUCGUUUCAGUUUUCCAUCAAAUAAAUAUCUCAGUUUGCUGAACACCGGCGGGAAUAAAAAGCCUUUUUAUAUUUGUAAGUUAAUAUUUCCAUCAAAAACAAACAGACGCUCGCAGGAUUCAAUAACUUAAAUUGGAGGUCGGCGCUCAGAUAUAGGUGUAUGUGCACACAUAGGAGCGUUAAAAUAAAUUGUGCUUGCUUGAGCUUGAACGCCAUGAAGGGAAAACAUUAAGUGUCACUUAUUCUAUUUACCUUCAAUAUUUCGUUCCUGACAACGUUGUUGCAAAUUCAGACAAAUGAAAUAUGAAAAGAAAUCCCUUCGGAAUUGCAACAUAAGGAAUAAUCAGAAUGAAUGAAUAGUGCACUUUGCUGUAUGAGAAGAACGCCAGCAACAUAAUCAGACUUUCCCUCUCCAGCUAGUUUUGCAUCGCCACAAAACUAAAUGGACUGAAACUACACACAGGUUCGGCGGCAGGGCAGCGAAUCGGGAUGAUGAGAGAAGAAAAGAGGGAGAGAAAGAAAACAAUACAGCCCUCAAGAGUCUUCUGAAAACUCAGCAAACGUUGCCUUUUUAAAUGUGACUGCACACUGUAUAACAUAACGGAAACAAAAUGAAACAAUUUUCUGCAGCGUUUGGAGCAUUCGUUAUUUCUUGUUGAAAUUUUAACAUUAAACUCUCCUUUCGGAGAAUUAAAGCGUUUUUUUUUAAAGAUGUCGAUUACAAUUUUUAACCUGGGCUUCUUUGUUUAAUUAUCGCAGCUAAAGCUGGACAAUUUCGUGCCUAUCAUUGAGACAUCAUUCAACAUGUAGGUAGGCAUUUUAAUAUUUUCCUAAUAAGAUCUACAGUUUAGUUUAUAAGAGACGGUCCUACUUCAAACUUCGAAAGGAAAUGAGAACAUUCAUCGCUGGAUUUGACAAUAAUAAUUCCUGAUUGCAGAAUCUAUUGUAACGAGAAUUUAUGACUGCGCAGCAGGAAGGACAGCAAAGAUUUACUGCACCAAGGUGGAAAGGAUUUCUGAAAUAGCCUAAUCAUUAAUAAGAAAAGGAUGGAGCCACUAAUUGGGAGAUAGUGAUUGGAGAUGGGGUGGGAGCAAGAUGAGUUCUGCUGGAAGUUUCCCACUUGUUCAACAUCGCCUUUCACCUUUAGCUAUGCUGUCAUCGUUCUGUGCAUUUUCUUUUCUGCUGACAUGAAAAGGGGGAAUGCUUGUGAUCUGGAAUUUGCUUGUAACAUUUUAUUGCUCUUGAUCCCCCGUCGACAGGAUUGCACUUCAAAACAACAGACUUGGGAGUUGUCAACAACUUCUGAAGUGGUCGGAAAGGGCUCCAGGGCUCCAGUUUUUCAGUUUCCAUAUAACGAUGUCAGCAAUUUCCAUGGAAAACAGUGCAGCUGUCAGCAAAGUGCCUGCAUUGUAAAAUUGUACAAGCCUGAACAUUCAAUACAACCUCAAAUUCCCAUUGCAUAACAACGACAGUACUUCAAGAAAAUACUUAACUCAUGAUGAAGCACUUUGUGGCAUCCUGAGAUGAUUAAAGGCAAUAUAUAGGUUCUUGAUCUUUCUUCCCAUUUGUGAAUUAGGGUCAGAGCAGGAAAACAAUAUGGUCAAAACAUCUUACCUUGCAGCUUUUAAUGUAAUUAUUUUUAAGUAAAUUAAUAGGUCAUUAUUUGGCAGGUCAUGGUGCAGUUGUAUCGGAAUUUGGUUCGGCCACAUUUAGAGUAUUACCUACAGUUCUGGCCACCACGUUACCAAAAGGAUGUGAUGCUUUGGAGAGGGAUCAAAUAGCUCAGUAAUUAUUCUUUCCUCAGUUGUUCCAGGAGCGCAAAAGCCAAAUGAAGCAAAAUGAUCAUGCAUAAUGCCUCUUUUUAUUACAUUUCUACAAUUUCAUUUUGUUUGGUUAAUGCGUUACUUUAAUUUGUUACUUUGCUACUGAAGAUUGAAGUGCAACCCUGAUGAAUGAUGUAAAGUUUGACAAUUGGUACCAACAUAAAUAUGACUUUUGGAUUGAAUUCUACCAUCAGAAGAUUAAUAAACAGGACAAUUUUACAAAGCCCACAUUAGCUGCUUGCAUUUUGUCCAAAAUGGAUGCUGGUUUCCCAAAGGAAGCAGCUAAUGUUGAUUAGCAAAAUGUAGUAUGAAAGCAAAAAGAAUUUUAAUAAAACAGUAUAAAUUUCCAAUUGUACAAGUGUAUAUGGUAUUCUGACUACCCGUUCCCCACUCUUAUAUGGGCACUGAAAAUGCUGAAUAAUUUUGAGUAAUUUCACAAGUUCAAAAAUAUUCUAAUUGUGAUUACUUUCAUAUUGCUUUAUAAUAUUCAGAAGUUAUAUGAAAAGUAUACAUUAAUAUAAUCCAAAGUAUAAUAUUAUUAAUAAUAACAUUACUGACUGCAAUACAAUUAAUCAUCCUUUGAAAGACCAAUAAUACUCCACUUCUAAUCUAGGAUAUAAAGACAUAACUGUUAAUCUUUGGAAUAUGUUGUGAUCAAACAUCUCAGGAGUAAUUCUGCCUGUAGGAAAUAUAGAGAGAAGACAAUUGAUGUGAAAGAUGUCUGAGUUAGUAUAACAAAUCAUCUUAAAGAUCAGGUAACUCUACCCUUCCAGUGAUUUACGACUCUUGAAUUUAUCCCAUUAAAUUCUUAUCCUCUUUCAACUUGCCUAAAAGAAAUGAAUAAAAAUUUAUUUAAAUAUUAAUUCAUGAUGUAUUGUCUUCAAAGCCUCUGCUAGGCUAUUGGAUUUGUAGAAUGGUAGAACCAUAGUAUGAUAUUGCACAGAAAGAGUCCAUCUGUUUCAUCAUGCCUGUCUGUACUGUUUCAAAGGGGUAUCUGAUCAGUCCCAGUUCUUUGUUCUCCCAACUGCUGUAUAAAUCUUCCCCCUUCCAGUAUUCUUCCAAAACCUCUUUAAAAGUUAAAUCUGACUCUGCUUCAAAUAUUCUUUCAGGUGUAGAUUCCAUUUGGAGCACCCUGAGCCAGUCUGCCUUUGUCUUACUGUGCUGGGAGUCCCUGAGCGAAGACUAUACCCCUUGACUUCACUGAGGUCUGUUGAUAGAUAUGACAAGCUUCCUGGUUUUGUGUCUGUGUUGAAUGAUUUGGCAAGCAGCAGUAAUGUUAGUCUGGGACCUCUGUCUGAAUGCACAAAGCACAAAAAGGCAAGACAAGACAGAACAGGAAUGCUGUAAGCAUUUAGGUAGACUCAGAGUGAGUGAGUGCUGUCACAGCAAACAAAGGCCUUGAAGGCAGAGCUUGCUCUUGUCCAUGAGCAGGGUGCAUGUCCUGAACACACAGGGCCCUUGCUGCAGCAUUACAGGUGCACCACUGAAGUGCAGAAGUGGAUCAGUGCGUAAGUUUUCUUAGAAGCUGGCAUGUUUUGGAUUGCUGUGUCUGCAGAUAUGGAGUAAAAUGGCCGGGGUAGGGAGUUGAAUGAUGGGCAACACAUGCCUGUCUUGGCUCUUUCUGCCUUAUUGCAGGCUAUUUUCUUGGAAUGAGAGAGAAGCAGGCAUUAUUGAAGAUGAAAAUAGUCAGCACAGUUAUUACGCUAGGAACAGGUGGGGAGACGUCCCAAGUAAGGAUCAGGAAGCACAGGGGGCUUACAGACUCAGUAGUGUCAGGAGUUGAGGCGGGCGACAUCAAAUGGGGGAGAUGUUGCAAGCAAUAGUGAGAGUUGUAGAGCAUGCACCUUGGUGGGAGAUGGGUGCAGUCGCAGAGACAGAGUGAGCUUGCAACAUCUGAGAGAAGAUGGUGGAACUUCUCCUCCACACUAUAUUGCUGGGCAUUCCUUCAGGCAGCUGAGAGUGCUGUAUGCCUGGUGAUGACCUUGGACCAGGCUGGCAUGGUCUGGUGCUAUAGCCUCCACCACUGGUCUUGGGGGAGGAGGAAGCCCCACAUCAACAAUACACUGUUGAGGAGGACUUCAAGGAGCCUGUCCACAAAGUGGGGCACAAUUUCCCCUGUGUAUCAUUUUUAGGGGAAAUGUCAACAACUGUGCAAGGCAGCUGUAGAUUGGUAGUGCAUAUUCAGGUGUACAACAGGCUUUUAAGGAUGGUGAAGGUGCCAGGGUGCCGAUCAAUUCUGGGAUAUCCACUAAGUGGUGACUUGUUCAGGGAAUGGCAUGAGGUCAAGUGGGUGAUAAUUGAAUGUGAUGGACACUAUUGUGGCAUAGUAAGUAAAUAAUGAGGCAAACUUGAUAAGAUAGGAUGAGAGAACUCACUCUGCCUCAUGGUAAUAAACCCUCCAAAAAGCUUGAUGCAAAUGUGGACUUAGCAAAAACAUGUAAGAUUCAGCCCAGUAACUUUAAACAACAGGGAAAAGUUAGGAACUUCAGACAGCUAUGAUAUAGUCAUUUCGAUACAUAGUAAUCUUGAUUAAUUCCUUUUAUUCCUGGGUUUCUCAUUUCUUAUACAUCCUGUACAAUGCUUUUGUCUAAUAACACAUGCAAAUAGCUUCACAGUCAGAGAAAAUCUAACCAUCGCACUCACUUUCAGUAGCAUCACCACAGUUGAAUCCCACGCCAUCAACAUUUUUUUGAUUACCAUUGACCAGAAACUGAACUGGAGUAGCCAUAGAAUACUAUAGUUACAACAGCAGGUCAGAGUCUGGGAAAUCUGCAGUCAGUAACUCACCUCCUGACUUCCAAAAGCCUGUCCACAAGGCACAAGUCAGGUGUGUGACAGAAUACUUUCCAUUUGCCUGGAUGAGUGUAGUUCCAACAAAACUAAAGAAUGUCAAGUGACUGGCCAGGAUUAAACAACUUGCUUGACUGGUACCCCAUCCAUCACAUUCAGCAUUCACUUCCGUCACUACCAAGGCAAAAUGGCUGUAGUGUGUACCUCUUAUAAGAUGCACUUAGCAAGUAACUCAGCAAGAUUUCUCUUCCAAACCUCUACCAGUGAUCUUUACCAUCUAAGAGCACCAAAGUAGCAAACCUAAAGGGGCCCCAUAUGGACUGUAGCAGUUCAAGUUGGUGGUUCACUGCCACCUUCUUAAGGGCAAUUAAGGAUGAACAGUAAAUACUCACCUUGGCCAGUGACAUCCAUCUUCAAUGAACAUGAACAAAUAGUCAGUUUUGACCCUUCCCUGCUCUCCUUCAAGAGAUAUGGAGCCUACACGUAGUCUUUUUUGACAUUUCUGCGGACAACAUCGGCCACAUAAUAUUUUAAUCCACUGAACAAAUCUCUGCUAAAGCACAGACUUAUUCAAGAGCCCAAAAUAAAAAGCUCCAUUCAAUCCAAUCAAAUGUUGGUUCAGCAUGCAGAAGAACACCAGCGCUGAGCAAUGAACCUUCCCAUCAACAUUUUUUAAGAUCAAGUACCUUAUGGAUAUUAUUAAAGGCACGUUGAUGUUAUAUAAAAUGCACUUGGCUCCAGUGUACAUGUUUUGACAUUGUUUUCUAUCAUCUUGAUGCCAAUGUCUUGGCUAAAAUUUUGCAACAAACCCAGAAUUGGCUGGUCAUUCAUACAGUCCACAAGAGCUUUUUUGUGCACUUCACUUUUUUAAAGUCUCCAAUGACGCAAGGUCUGACCACAUGACAGAAGGGCUUCCUUCAAUUUGAGGGGAGUAAUUUAAAGUAUUUAUCAAAAAAUGAGAAGUAGGAUCAAUUGUGAAGAGUCUGUAGACAGCCCUUUCAAGCAAAAACAUUUGCUAUCAAACAAAUAUUGAACAUUAUUCUUCAGUUCUAAUGCUGCACUGUUUUCCUGCUUACCAUCAAGCAGAAUAUAUAUUAAUUCAAAUAUUUCCUGUAUUUUAUGAGUUAAUAUAUUCCUCCGGAAGGCCAUAAUCAUUAACUAUCAAUUAUAGGUAAACCUAUAGCUGUUUAAAUAUAGAGCUCUAAAGCAAUUAACCACAUUCAAAUUAUUCCAAUUGUAAGGAUUUGCUGAUCCAAGUACAAUAUAAAAACGUAUAAAAUUUCCUAAGCGUAUAGUAUUUCCCCAGUUAUCAGAUUGCUAAUCUGUCACAUACCCAUAUAUUAAUAACUAAUAAGAAUUUGAAUUCUAAAUAAUUUUAACAUGUAUAAUUCAUAAUGAA
Long non-coding RNA from Stegostoma tigrinum, 6837 nucleotides. RefSeq lists it as uncharacterized. The transcript is spliced from 4 exons. The record is from RefSeq and is a predicted model, not a curated record. Lineage: Eukaryota; Metazoa; Chordata; Chondrichthyes; Orectolobiformes; Stegostomatidae.